This is a non-coding RNA of Nerophis lumbriciformis (worm pipefish), 843 nucleotides long. The record is from RefSeq and is a predicted model, not a curated record. Lineage: Eukaryota; Metazoa; Chordata; Actinopteri; Syngnathiformes; Syngnathidae.
AUACUUCUCCUCCUCAGCGUCCAGUUGGAAGCCAUAAUGGAUUGCCUGCAUCUCUCCCGUCCAAUCAGAGAGCUCCACCUGCAGCAUGUACUGCCCUUGUUUGGCGAUUGCGUGUAUGUUCUCCAAGCCCAACCAGAAUUCACCUGAGGCUGUCCAUGCGUGAGUAGAUGUCUUCGUUCUGCUUCAUCACCUCAUCCACCUUGGCCAUCGCCUCACUCGUGGCCUCCACCUCCCGGGCUUUGAGAUCUUCAUCCUGCUCCUGCUGCUUUCUCUCAAGCGCAGUUAUGGUGCUGUUGAAGGCUUUCAGUUUGCCGCUGAUGUCCCGCAUCAUGACUUUGGACUUGUCCACAUGCUCCUUGAGCCCCUGGCCCAGCUGCAGCAGACCGUGGGUCACCACGUUGAUGUCGUCCCAGGAGGCUUGCUUAUCCCUUCUGUCCACAGGGAAAGCUGCUGCGGCGUUGAUGAGCAGCACGAGCAGGAGGGUGACAGUCUGAGGCGUUUUCAUCUUUGGUCUCUUUGGAUUCGGAAUGCUGCUCUUGGUUUCUCUUGUAAAGAUUUUAUAGCUGAGCGCUGCAGCUGAGGGCUCUGCUGAUUGGCCGUGGGGGCGUUGAAGGCAGGCACAAAGGGAGCUUGGGGGCGUGGAAACAAUUCAUUGUUGUCACCAAAUGUACGAUGAUGCAAUGAAAGCUUUGAAUUUCUGACAAAGGACUCUAAAAUGCCCGAUACUAUUACACCACUGCUAUUUUUUUUCAAAUAAUUUUUGUUGUAUAAACACCUAUUGUGUAUGUCUUUUUUUAAAUAGACACAUGUGGUAAGAGAGUAAAACCCGUAAACCCUGCAAAA